CUCCUACGGGGGGCAGCAGUUGGGAAUAUUGGACAAUGGAGGAAACUCUGAUCCAGUGACGCCGCGUGAAGGAAGAAGGUCUUCGGAUUGUAAACUUAUUUUAUCAGGGAAGAAAAAAAUGACUGUACCUGAGUAAGAAGCCCCGGCUAACUACGUGCCAGCAGCCGCGGUAAUACGUAGGGGGCAAGCGUUAUCCGGAUUUACUGGGUGUAAAGGGAGCGUAGACGGCGAAGAAAGUCUGAAGUGAAAGCCCGCGGCUCAACCGCGGAAUGGCUUUGGAAACUUUUUUGCUGGAGUACCGGAGG
Molecule: ribosomal RNA, 305 nt
Filed under: uncultured bacterium
Lineage: Bacteria
Description: partial 16S ribosomal RNA
Rfam family: Bacterial small subunit ribosomal RNA
Source: RNAcentral